RNAcentral lists this unclassified non-coding RNA (2356 nucleotides) under Hevea brasiliensis (rubber tree). Lineage: Eukaryota; Viridiplantae; Streptophyta; Magnoliopsida; Malpighiales; Euphorbiaceae. The record is from RNAcentral.
GGUUCCUUAGGAACUUUCAUAUUGUUUAUUGUCACUAAUGUAUCUUUUGAUAAACUUGUUUACUUACUAUCAUGAUCAACUUGAAUUUAAGCAUAGUUUUAUGGGUACCUCAAAUAUGUACCUUGUCCCUUUGUUGGUCUAGAUUUAUGGUGGUUCUAAUUGAUAAGGGUUGUGGUUAAGCUUUACUUUUUCAGUUUCAGAGUAUAACCACGUGCCUGCACAUGUAAUCUUUCUAAUGGUUACUGGGUCUUGUUAAUUCAUCCUCCUUUCCUUUUUGCAUGCAGAUAAAGAAGCACCUUAAUCUUUUUCUUGGUAUCCUAUUUUCUUAUUGAACAGAUUUGAUGGCCUUCAAUUAAUGCCUUUUCGGAAUUCUGGUUUCUGACUAGUUCGUCUCACCAACCAUCAAUACAAGCCUUUUGCUAAAAUUAAGUAAAAUUUCCAGAUAAUCACUAUUAUGGGUGAUUUUUCAGUUCAGAUUAGUUCUAACCUUGUUAAUAGACUUACUGAUGAUGGUGAGAAGUUAAAGAGGAAACCAAAGAAAACUAAAACUAAGGUACCCCGAGAAUUUGUCCAUCCCAAAACUAAGGUGAAUGAAAAGCAACUUCGUGAUGAUCCUGAAACACUCAAAGGGGUUCCUUCUACGGGAUGGCCAGUACAACCUCCAUUGUUCUUGCCAGUAACCCCACCAGCUUAUUCUGCGAACACAGAGUUAGAUGCAAUUAGAUCUGUCAUUCAAGAAAGUGAAAGGAUUCUGGAAAAGUUGCAGAAGCAGGAGGAUAGCAUGGUGCAAGAAGUAACUGAAAGAGCCAAGGAUCUUCGUGAUAAGGAGUUCAAGCUUCCGUAUCAGAAGCCUAUGCCCUGUUUGGGUGAUUAUGAAGCUUGCCGGGCAUGCUACAAGGAGCAUGGUAAUGAUAUUUUGAAGUGUGCUCCUUUAACUAGGAGCUAUUAUGAUUGUGUUCGCAGAGUCAAGCAGCAUGUAAGUUUGGCUGGUCAAUAGUUUUUCAUGAAGGGAAAUUUUUCCAAUUCAUCAUAUACAUGAUUCCAAGCCAAUUGCUAGUUUGAGAGAUGAGCUAAUUACAUUUUCGGAGUGCAAAUAAACCAAACAUUUGAUUCUUAUUGCUGUUAUCGGAAUAUAUGCUGUGCUUCAUGAUGUCAUUUAGGAUUUUGUUAAAUCCAUUGCUUCUUUUUAUCCCAGAGCUAUGUUUUAGUUGGCUUCCAAUAAGUCAAUUUUCAGUUUGGACAUUGUACUAAGCUUUUGAUGCCUGCACAUUUCUACAUCACAGCUUUGUGCUGUUGAAAUCAGAAUGCUUCUUAUUGCCCGCCCAAUGAAAUAUUAGAUACAUGACACUUUUCACAAUCUUUUAUCAUGGAGAAUUGCUUGUGCUGUUAUAUUACUAUAUUGUGUUUACAGUCAUCCAAGAAAGUUGAUAUGCUCUCAUAUGGCAUCCUCUUUGGUUAUCAUACAAGUAAUUUGAUUUCAACAGGGUGGGUUAAUCUCUCAAGUAAAUUCAUAAUUGAAUUUACAAAUACUUGAAUAGUUGAUCAAUUGGUGUUUCAAACCUGAUUGGAUAGUAUGCUAUGAGGUAGUGUCAUAAUCAUUCAAGUUUGCUAAUGGGUGAACAAUGAUUAUACUCAGUUUGGAUUUGAUUACAGAUCUUAUAUUCAGGGAGACUGGAGAAAUGAUCGAGCAAAAUACUUUUUCUUUGUUUCUUCUUGGGAGCAGGUUCAAAAAAAUUGUCGUUCAUAUAUUCUUUGGAGUAGAGCAACUGGAACUGAAAUGUUUGCCCAAGUACAUUGACAAGGAGCUGACUAAUAUCUCGGUUCUUCGAUUCUAUGAAUUUUUUAGUGUAAUUUUAUCUUUCACUUUUCUUGAUGAUGACUUGGUUGAAAUUGUCCAGGAAAAACGUCCAAGCUAGUGGCCUAGUUAUUUGAGCAUUAUUUAGAUGGUGAGCGCUUUAGGGGGCAGCAGGUACGAAAUUGGUGAUUCUAAUUUAAGGUUUAGGAGGAUUGGAUUCGGACUACAAGGUAUUUUAAAAGAAAAUAAAAAUGAUGAGCAAUGAAGUUUUGGAUUGUUUUGAAAUUGAAGAAUACUAUGCUGGCUAUUCCAACGCCAAGGUUAUCUGAUCCAACAAUAUAUGAAUUAAGUCUUAACUCUGCUCAUAAUUAUUGUACAUCAAGUCGUGAGCCGUCAAACCAACAGGAAAAAUGUUGCUUUUGAAGAGCAAAAGACACAGAAAAGAAGAGAAAUCCUAGAGGUUUGUGAUGCAGUCUGCUAUAUUCUAUGUUUCUGAUAAUAUUGUGACGGUUAAAUUAAAUCCCAUUUGCAGACUUUGUCGAACUGGUAUCUCCUUUAUGC